Molecule: ribosomal RNA, 447 nt
Filed under: uncultured bacterium
Lineage: Bacteria
Description: bacterial SSU rRNA
Rfam family: Bacterial small subunit ribosomal RNA
Source: RNAcentral
GACGAACGCUAGCGGCGUGCCUAAGCUAUGCAAGUCGAGCGGGGUUUCAGAGUCGAGUUUCCUUCGGGAGACAAAGCACUGAAACCUAGCGGCGAACGGGUGAGUAACACGUGAGCAACCUACCCUGUUGUCCGGGAUAACAGACCAAAAGGCCUGCUAAUACCGGAUACGAAGCUCCUUCGCAUGUUGGAGCUUGGAAAGGGGCAACCCGCAAUAGGAGGGGCUUACGGCCUAUCAGCUAGUUGGUGAGGUAACGGCCCACCAAGGCGACGACGGGUAGCCGACCUGAGAGGGUGACCGGCCACACUGGGACUGAGACACGGCCCAGACUCCUACGGGAGGCAGCAAGCGGGAAUCUUGCACAAUGGGCGCAAGCCUGAUGCAGCGACGCCGCGUGAGGGAUGAAGGCCUUCGGGUCGUAAACCUCUGUUGAUGGGGACGAAGAUC